This 404-nucleotide ribosomal RNA is filed under the name uncultured bacterium. RNAcentral's name for it is "partial 16S ribosomal RNA". It matches the Rfam family "Bacterial small subunit ribosomal RNA", at positions 30 to 526 of the family's 1533-position model. The record is from RNAcentral.
AUUGAACGCUGGCGGCAGGCCUAACACAUGCAAGUCGAGCGAGCGGCGGACGGGUGAGUAAUGCCUGGGAAUAGCCCAGUCGAGGGGGAGAACAGUUGGAAAAGACUGCUAAAACCGCAUACGAUCCGAUUGCCCAGGUUGGAUUGGCUAGUUGGUGAGGUAAUGGCUCACCAAGGCGCCGAGCCCUAGCUGGUCUGCUAGGAUGAGUGGCCACACUGGAACUGAGACACGGUCCAGACUCCUACGGGAGGCAGCAGUGGGGAAUAUUGCACAAUGGGGGAAACCCGGAUGCAGCCAUGCCGCGUGUGUGAAGAAGGCCUUCGGGUUGUAAAGGACUUUCAGCGGGGAGGCGUUACUCGCAGAAGAAGCACCGGCUAACUCCGUGCCAGCAGCCGCGGUAAUUC